GAUGAACGCUGGCGGCGUGCCUAAUACAUGCAAGUCGAGCGAACAGAUAAGGAGCUUGCUCCUUUGACGUUAGCGGCGGACGGGUGAGUAACACGUGGGUAACCUACCUAUAAGACUGGGAUAACUUCGGGAAACCGGAGCUAAUACCGGAUAAUAUUUCGAACCGCAUGGUUCGAUAGUGAAAGAUGGUUUUGCUAUCACUUAUAGAUGGACCCGCGCCGUAUUAGCUAGUUGGUAAGGUAACGGCUUACCAAGGCGACGAUUCGUAGCCGACCUGAGAGGGUGAUCGGCCACACGGGAACUGAGACACGGUCCAGACUCCUACGGGAGGCAGCAGUAGGGAAUCUGCCGCAAUGGGCGAAAGCCUGACGGAGCAACGCCGCGUGAGUGAUGAAGGUCUUCGGAUCGUAAAACUCUGUUAUUAGGGAAGAACAUACGUGUAAGUAACUGUGCACGUCUUGACGGUACCUAAUCAGAAAGCCACGGCUAACUACGUG
Molecule: ribosomal RNA, 497 nt
Filed under: uncultured bacterium
Lineage: Bacteria
Description: partial 16S ribosomal RNA
Rfam family: Bacterial small subunit ribosomal RNA
Source: RNAcentral